This 183-nucleotide unclassified non-coding RNA is filed under the name soil metagenome. RNAcentral's name for it is "partial internal transcribed spacer 1". The record is from RNAcentral.
CCGAGUUUACAACUCCCAAACCCAAUGUGAACGUUACCAAACUGUUGCCUCGGCGGGGUCACGCCCCGGGUGCGUAAAAGCCCCGGAACCAGGCGCCCGCCGGAGGAACCAACCAAACUCUUUUCUGUAGUCCCCUCGCGGACGUAUUUCUUACAGCUCUGAGCAAAAAUUCAAAAUGAAUCA